Molecule: long non-coding RNA, 475 nt
Organism: Asparagus officinalis (garden asparagus)
Lineage: Eukaryota; Viridiplantae; Streptophyta; Magnoliopsida; Asparagales; Asparagaceae
Exons: 2
Source: RefSeq, a predicted model, not a curated record
AUGGGGUUUUUUGCUCUACCAAUACAUCAAGUCUCACCACUUGGCCUUUAGGUUCAUAUUUAAGAGUAUCCCACUCCUUUAGUUUUCAGUAAGAGCUUGAUACAGUUUCAUAGAGGGUUAGUAUUGUAGCUGUUAAAUACUGGUUAGGUUUAAGCCAUCAUCGAGCCAUAUGACCAUCUAAACAUAUACUUAAACUGCUGCUAAACACAGUUUUGCAAUUUCAGGCAUAUUUAUCGCUUCCGGAAGGAAUUGCUACUGCUGCUGGUUUGAUCGCUAUGAUGACUGACCACUACAAUAUUCUGGAAGGCAGUGACAGCGAGCAUGAAAGCAAUGAUGUAGCAAGAACAUCUCGCAGACCACAGAAGCGUGCUCGGGGUAAGUAUCGUCUCAUGUCAAAGGGUCCUGAUGGUCCUUGUCCAGAUCUGUUGCAACUUCAAUCUGCCUCAUCAAGUUAUGCAUGCAUGUCUUUAUUGAA